AUGAUUUGUUUAUAUGAUUUAACUUAGUGUAUAAGCUUUUGAAUCUGAUUUUCUAAUGGACAUUGGUUUUGUAUAAAUAUAACUUUCAUUGGGUUACAUGUGUUACUUGAGUUUGUUUUCUUAGUAGAUUAUGAAGGAUAUCCGAUCUCCCGAGUUCAUGUUCGCUCCAAGCAUCGCUAUCAUGCUCUAUUUUAGUUUUGUUUGAUGUUAUCAUUUUCGUUUCAUCUUAGGUCAUCCACAAUAGUGCAAUACCCACCGCCAACCGCUAUAGUGAUGCGCGUCACCUCAUCACCACAACCUAUCACUAUGACCGUAGGAUGCCUAGCACCGAAACACAACUCCACAUAGGUUCGCCUGAUUAAUAGUUUAAUUACUGAAAGUUUUUUCAUUUUUAUUAAAAGAAAGUUACAAGAAAUCAAUAAAAAGGUUGAAGUUGAAAAUUCUAAAAUAAAAGAAUAAAAUAAAAAAAACAAUAAAAAUAAAAAUAAUUUGUAUGUGCAUGUCACGAGAGCAAUGCAAAUAAUUUUUGCCAAAAUUAAAUUUUUAAUCGGUUUAGUAUUUUAAAAUUGAAUAACAUGAUUACAGUGAAACUAAUGUAAAUGACGAAUACCAUAAUAGUGACAAUUAAAAAACUAGAACUUUAGAAAGAUGAGUAAUAUUCUGUUAUGGGUCGUUAUUUUUGUUGGUAUAUUGUUGUUUUUAAUCCCUCUCUUUUACCUUGUUCCUUUUACGUUGAGAGUUUUAAUAAUAUAUGGCCGUUUCAAAAAAAAAUUUAAAAUCAUCUUGGUUAAUAUUUAUUUUGUUGUUCUUUUUAUUGUUGUUGAAUGAUCGAAUUUGUAAUUUAGCCUAACUUUGGUAUUGCUAUCUUCAAGUUGCAUUAACCGAAGGACGUUUUUUGGUGAUUUUGCAUAAACUUUGUUUCUGUAGUGAAAAAAGCAAAUUAAAAAUAUAAUUGUAGAAGCUUCUUCGAUUAUCAGAGCCAGGUUUCGAUCCUGGGACCUAUGGGUUAUGGGCCCACCACGAUUCCGCUGCUCCACUCUGAUUUGAUGAUUGUAUUCUCAAAUUUUUUACAAAGAUCGCUAAAUUCUAAAAAAGGAAGUGUUUACAACAUCAAUAUAGAGUUGCAUCCUGGCCAAUGACUCUAUUAAUGUCUUCACUGAAUAAGAAAGAUUCAUUAACCACACAUGAACUAAAAUCCAAAUUGUGAAUUUAUUUCAAAUUUAAUGUGUACACACCAAUUUUACAAACAAAAAACAUCAAUAUGAGUCAUUUGACUUAUGUCUUUCAUCAAAUCUUUCAAAACGUUAAUGGAACGAUAUUGUGCUAGAUAAAGUAGCCAUUUGGGAUUAUGAAAUGCAACACAUUUGUGUAUAUAUUAGUUAAUUUUUAAGAAUCUUUUAGAUGCUUUUGGUCCAAUUUAAUUUGGGUGAUAUUCAAGUAUGGUAUAGAUUAGUUGAUUGAAUGAUUUAUUUAUGAUGUGUUUAUAUGACUUAACUUAGUGUAUAAGCUUUUGAAUCCGAUUUUCUAAUGGACAUUGGUUUUGUAUAAAUAUAACUUUCAUUGGGUUACAUGUGUUACUUGAGUUUGUUUACUUAGUAGAUUAUGUAGGAUAUCCGAUCACAUGUUCACUCCAAGCAUCGCUAUCAUGCUCUAUUUUUGUUUUGUUUGAUGUUAUCAUUUUCGUUUCAUUUUAGGUCAUCCACAAUAGUGCAAUACCCACCGCCAACCGCUAUAGUGAUGCACGUCACCUCAUCACCACAACCUAUUUCUAUGACAGUAGGAUGCCUAGCACUGAAACACAACUCCACAUAGGUUCGCCUAAUUAAUAUUUAAUUACUGAAAGUUUUUUCAUUUUUAUUAAAAGAAAGUUACAAGAAAUCAAUAAAAAGGUUGAAGUUGAAAAUUCUAAAAUAAAAGAAUAAAAUAAAAAAAACAAUAAAAAUAAAAAUAAUUUGUAUGUGCAUGUCACGAGAGCAAUGCAAAUAAUUUUUGCCAAAAUUAAUUUUUUAAUCGGUUUAGUAUUUUAAAAUUGAAUAACAUGAUUACAGUGAAACUAAUGUAAGUGACGAAUACCAUAAUAGUGACAAUUAAAAAACUAGAACUUUAGAAAGAUCAAUAAUAGUCUAUUGUGGGUCGUUAUUUUUGUUGGUAUAUUGUUGUUUCUUGUCCCUCCCUUUUACCUUGUUCCUUUUACGUUGAGAAUUUUAAUAAUAUAUGGCCGUUUCAAAAAAAAAUUCAAAACCAUAUUGGUUAAUAUUUAUUUUGUUGUUCUUUUUAUUGUUGUUGAAUGAUCAAAUUUGUAAUUUAGCCUAACUUUGGUAUUGCUAUCUUCAAGUUGCAUUAACCGAAGGAUGUUUUUUUUAUGAUUUUGCAUAAACAUUGUUUCUGGAGUGAAAAAAGCAAAUUAAAAAUAUAAUUGUAGAAGCUUCUUCGGUUAUCAGAGCCAGGUUUCGAUCCUGGGACCUGUGGGUUAUGGGCCCACCACGCUUCCGCUGCGCCACUCUGAUUUGAUGAUUGAAUUCUCCUAUUUUUUACAAAGAUCGCUAAUUUCUAAAAAAGGAAGUGUUUCCAACAUCAAUAUAGAGUGGCAUCCUGGCCGGUGACUCUAUUAAUGUCUUCACUGAAUUACAAAGAUUCAUUAACCACAUAAACUAAAAUCCAAAUUGUGAAUUUAUUUCAAAUUUAAUGUGUACACACAAAUUUUACAAACAAAAAACAUCUAUAUGAGUCAUUUGACUUACGUCUUUCAUUAAAUCUUUUAAAAAAUUAAUGGACCAAUAUUGUGCUAGAUAAAGUAGCCAUUUGGGAUUAUGAAACGCAACACAUUUGUGUAUAUAUUAGUUAAUUUUUAAGGAUCUUUUAGAUGCUUUUGGUCCACUUUAAUUUGGGUGAUAUUCAAGUGCGGUAUAGGUUAGUUAAUUGAAUGAUUUAAUUUAUGAUGUGUUUAUAUAAUUUAUCUUAGUGUAUAAGCUUUUAAAUCCAAUUUUCUAAUGGACGUUUGUUUUGUAUAAAUAUAACUUUCAUUGGGUUACAUGUUUUACUUGAGUUUGUUUUCAUAGUAGAUUAUGAAGGAUAUCCGAUAUCCCAAGUUCAUGUUCGCUCCAAGCAUCGCUAUCAUGCUCUAUUUUUAUUUUGUUUGAUGUUAUCAUUUUCGUUUCAUUUUAGGUCAUCCACAAUAGUGCAAUACCCACCGCCAACCGAUAUAGUGAUGCGCGUCAUCUCAUCACCACAACCUAUCACUAUGACCGUAGGAUGCCUAGCACCGAAACACAACUCCACAUAGGUUCGCCCGAUUAAUAGUUUAAUUACUGAAAGUUAUUUCAUUUUUAUUAAAAGAAAGUUACAAGAAAUCAAUAAAAAGAUUGAAGUUGAAAAUUCGAAAAUAAAAGAAUAAAAUAAAAAACACAAUAAAAAUAAAAAUAAUUUGCAUGUGCAUGUCACGAGAGCAAUGCAAAUAAUUUUUGCCAAAAUUAAAUUUUUAAUCGGUUUAGUAGAUUAAAAUUGAAUAACAUGAUUACAGUGAAACAAAAUUAAAUUUUCAAAUUUAAUGUGUACACACCAAUUUUACAAACAAAAAACAUCUAUAUGAGUCAUUUGACUUACGUCUUUCAUUAAAUCUUUUAAAAAAUUAAUGGACCAAUAUUGUGCUAGAUAAAGUAGCCAUUUGGGAUUAUGAAACACAAUAUAUUUGUGUAUAUAUUAGCUUAUUUUUAAGGAUCUUUUAGAUGCCUUUGGUCCACUUUAAUUUGGGUGAUAUUCAAGUGCGGUAUAUAUUAGUUAAUUGAAUAAUUUAAUUUAUGAUGUGUUUAUAUAAUUUAUUUUAGUCUAUAAGCUUUUGAAUGCAAUUUUCUAAUGGACGUUUGUUUUGUAUAAAUAUAACUUUCAUUGGGUUACAUGUGUUACUUGAGUUUGUUUUCUUAGUAGAUUAUGAAGGAUAUCCGAUCUCCGAAGUUCAUGUUUUCUCCAAGCAUCGCUAUCAUGCUCUAUUUUUGUUUUGUUUGAUGUUAUCAUUUUCGUUUCAUUUUAGGUCAUCCACAAUAGUGCAAUACCCACCGCCAACCGAUAUAGUGAUGCGCGUCAUCUCAUCACCACAACCUAUCACUAUGACUGUAGGAUGCCUAGCACCGAAACACAACUCCACAUCAAUAUAGUGUGGCAUCCUGGCCGAUGAAUCUAUUAAUGUCUUCACUGAAUUACAAAGAUUCAUUAACCACACAAACUAAAAUCCAAAUUUUGAAUUUAUUUCAAAUUUAAUGUGUACACACCAAUUUUACAAACAAAAAACAUCUAUAUGAGUCAUUUGACUUACGUCUUUCAUUAAAUCUUUUAAAAAAUUAAUGGACCAAUAUUGUGCUAGAUAAAGUAGCCAUUUGGGAUUAUGAAACGCAACACAUUUGUGUAUAUAUUAGUUAAUUUUUAAGGAUCUUUUAGAUGCUUUUGGUCCACUUUAAUUUGGGUGAUAUUCAAGUGCGGUAUAGAUUAGUUAAUUGAAUGAUUUAAAUUAUGAUGUAUUUAUAUAAUUUAUCUUAGUGUAUAAGCUUUUGAAUCAAAUUUUCUAAUGGACGUUUGUUUUGUAUAAAUAUAACUUUCAUUGGGUUACAUGUGUUACUUGAGUUUGUUUUCUUAGUAGAUUAUGAAGGAUAUCCGAUCUCCCGGGUUCAUGUUCGCUCCAAGCAUCGCUAUCAUGCUCUAUUUAUGUUUUGUUUGAUGUUAUCAUUUUCGUUUUAUUUUAGGUCAUCCACAAUAGUGCAAUACCCACUGCCAACCGCUAUAGUGAUGCGCGUCACCUCAUCACCACAACCUAUCACUAUGAUCGUAGGAUGCCUAGCACCGAAACACAACUCCACAUAGGUUCGCCCGAUUAAUAGUUUAAUUACUGAAAGUUAUUUCAUUUUUAUUAAAAGAAAGUUACAAGAAAUCAAUAAAAAGAUUGAAGUUGAAAAUUCGAAAAUAAAAGAAUAAAAUAAAAAACACAAUAAAAAUAAAAAUAAUUUGCAUGUGCAUGUCACGAGAGCAAUGCAAAUAAUUUUUGCCAAAAUUAAAUUUUUAAUCGGUUUAGUAGAUUAAAAUUGAAUAACAUGAUUACAGUGAAACAAAAUUAAAUUUUCAAAUUUAAUGUGUACACACCAAUUUUACAAACAAAAAACAUCUAUAUGAGUCAUUUGACUUACGUCUUUCAUUAAAUCUUUUAAAAAAUUAAUGGACCAAUAUUGUGCUAGAUAAAGUAGCCAUUUGGGAUUAAGAAACGCAACACAUUUGUGUACAUAUUAGUUAAUUUUUAUGGAUCUUUUAGAUGCUUUUGGUCCACUUUAAUUUGGGUGAUAUUCAAGUGCGGUAUAGAUUAGUUGAUUGAAUGAUUUAAUUUAUGAUGUGUUUAUAUAAUUUAUCUUAGUGUAUAAGCUUUUGAAUCCAAUUUUCUAAUGGACGUUUGUUUUGUAUAAAUAUAACAUUCAUUGAGUUACAUGUGUUACUUGAGUUAAGUUUCUUAGUAGAUUUUGAAGGAUAUUCGAUCUCCCGAGUUCAUGUUCGCUCCAAGCAUCGCUAUCAUGCUCUAUUUUUGUUUUGUUUGACGUUAUCAUUUUCCUUUCAUCUUAGGUCAUCCACAAUAGUGCAAUACCCACCACCAACCGCUAUAGUUAUGCGCGUCACCUAAUCACCACCACCUAUCACUAUGACCGU
RNAcentral lists this long non-coding RNA (5679 nucleotides) under Lactuca sativa (garden lettuce). Its description in RNAcentral is "long non-coding RNA (LSAT_LNC008474)". Lineage: Eukaryota; Viridiplantae; Streptophyta; Magnoliopsida; Asterales; Asteraceae. The record is from RNAcentral.